AGUCGACGGCAGCGCGGGGUAACCUGGCGGCGAGUGGCGAACGGGUGAGUAAUACAUCGGAACGUGCCCUGUGAUGGGGGAUAACUACGCGAAAGCGUAGCUAAUACCGCAUACGACCUACGGGUGAAAGUGGGGGAUCGCAAGACCUCACGUCAUAGGAGCGGCCGAUGGCGGAUUAGCUAGUUGGUGAGGUAAAGGCUUACCAAGGCAACGAUCCGUAGCUGGUCUGAGAGGACGACCAGCCACACUGGGACUGAGACACGGCCCAGACUCCUACGGGAGGCAGCAGUGGGGAAUCUUGGACAAUGGGGGCAACCCUGAUCCAGCAAUGCCGCGUGUGGGAUGAGGGCCUUCGGGUUGUAAACCACUUUUGGCGGGGGCGAAAUAUCGAGUGCUAAUACCAUUCGGUGAUGACGGUACCCGCAGAAUAAGUACCGGCUAACUACGUGCCAGCAGCCGCGGUAAUACGUAGGGUGCAAGCGUUAAUCGGAAUUACUGGGCGUAAAGCGUGCGCAGGCGGUUAGGUAAGACAGAUGUGAAAUUCCCGGGCUCAACCUGGGAACUGCAUUUGUGACUGCCUGACUAGAGUGCGGCAGAGGGGAGUGGAAUUCCGCGUGUAGCAGUGAAAUGCGUAGAUAUGCGGAGGAAUACCGAUGGCGAAGGCAACUCUCUGGGUCUGCACUGACGCUCAUGCACGAAGCGUGGGGAGCAAACAGAUUAGAUACUCUGGUAGUCCACGCUCUAAACGAUGUCGACUAGUUGUUGGACGGGUUACUGUUCAGUAACGAAGCUUACGCGUGAAGUCGACCGCCUGGGG
RNAcentral lists this ribosomal RNA (817 nucleotides) under uncultured bacterium. Its description in RNAcentral is "bacterial SSU rRNA". It matches the Rfam family "Bacterial small subunit ribosomal RNA", at positions 60 to 878 of the family's 1533-position model. The record is from RNAcentral.